Molecule: ribosomal RNA, 497 nt
Filed under: uncultured bacterium
Lineage: Bacteria
Description: partial 16S ribosomal RNA
Rfam family: Bacterial small subunit ribosomal RNA
Source: RNAcentral
GAUGAACGCUGGCGGCGUGCCUAAUACAUGCAGGUCGAGCGAACGGACGAGAAGCUUGCUUCUCUGAUGUUAGCGGCGGACGGGUGAGUAACACGUGGAUAACCUACCUAUAAGACUGGGAUAACUUCGGGAAACCGGAGCUAAUACCGGAUAAUAUUUUGAACCGCAUGGUUCAAAAGUGAAAGACGGUCUUGCUGUCACUUAUAGAUGGAUCCGCGCUGCAUUAGCUAGUUGGUAAGGUAACGGCUUACCAAGGCAACGAUGCAUAGCCGACCUGAGAGGGUGAUCGGCCACACUGGAACUGAGACACGGUCCAGACUCCUACGGGAGGCAGCAGUAGGGAAUCUUCCGCAAUGGGCGAAAGCCUGACGGAGCAACGCCGAGUGAGUGAUGAAGGUCUUCGGAUCGUAAAACUCUGUUAUUAGGGAAGAACAUAUGUGUAAGUAACUGUGCACAUCUUGACGGUACCUAAUCAGAAAGCCACGGCUAACUACGUG